This 298-nucleotide unclassified non-coding RNA is filed under the name fungal sp. Its description in RNAcentral is "partial contains small subunit ribosomal RNA, internal transcribed spacer 1, and 5.8S ribosomal RNA". The stretch from base 1 to 47 matches the Rfam family "Eukaryotic small subunit ribosomal RNA", at positions 1785 to 1831 of the family's 1831-position model. The record is from RNAcentral. Lineage: Eukaryota; Fungi.
AAAGUCGUAACAAGGUAACCGUAGGUGAACCUGCGGUUGGAUCAUUAUCACGUUAUCCACGUUAUCAACCAACGCGAACUCGGGCUAGUAAGCAAUGAACGCCUUUUUCUCGCCAACGAUUUUCGGCUUCGAUUCAUUUCGUCGCUGUCAGUCGGAAGUGAGAAAUAAAUCUUGAUUAACUAUCAACCCCCUUUUAUACUUUAUUGUACUGAACUGUUUCUUCCUCUAUUUCAUUAUGGAGAAGAAAACAAAAAUACGAAACAAAGAACAACUCUUAGCAACGGAUAUCUUGGUUCUC